UAAUACAGAGGGUGCAAGCGUUAAUCGGAAUUACUGGGCGUAAAGCGCGCGUAGGCGGUUUGUUAAGUUGGAUGUGAAAGCCCCGGGCUUAACCUGGGAGGGUCAUUCAAAACUGGCAGACUAGAGUGUGGUAGAGGGUAGUGGAACUCCUAGUGUAGCGGUGAAAUGCGUAGAGAUUAGGAAGAACACCAGUGGCGAAGGCGACUGCCUGGACCAACACUGACGCUGAGGUGCGAAAGCGUGGGUAGCGAACAGGAUUAGAUACCCUGGUAGUCCACGCUGUAAACGAUGACAACUAGACGUUGGGCUCCUUAGAGGGUUUAGUGUCGAAGCUAACGCGUUAAGUUGUCCGCCUGGGGAGUACGGUCGCAAGAUUA
Molecule: ribosomal RNA, 377 nt
Filed under: uncultured Gammaproteobacteria bacterium
Lineage: Bacteria; Pseudomonadati; Pseudomonadota; Gammaproteobacteria
Description: bacterial SSU rRNA
Rfam family: Bacterial small subunit ribosomal RNA
Source: RNAcentral